GACGAACGCUGGCGGCGUGCUUAACACAUGCAAGUCGAACGGAAAGGCCCUGCUUUUGUGGGGUGCUCGAGUGGCGAACGGGUGAGUAACACGUGAGUAACCUGCCCUUGACUUUGGGAUAACUUCAGGAAACUGGGGCUAAUACCGGAUAGGAGCUCCUGCUGCAUGGUGGGGGUUGGAAAGUUUCGGCGGUUGGGGAUGGACUCGCGGCUUAUCAGCUUGUUGGUGGGGUAGUGGCUUACCAAGGCUUUGACGGGUAGCCGGCCUGAGAGGGUGACCGGCCACAUUGGGACUGAGAUACGACCCAGACUCCUACGGGAGGCAGCGGUGGAGAAUAUUACACAAUGGGCUGAAGCCUGAUGCGACAACGCCGCGUGCGGGAUGACUGCCUUCGGGUUGUAAACCGCUUUCGCCUGUGACGAAGCGUGAGUGACGGUAAUGGGUAAAGAAGCACCGGCUAACUACGUG
This 468-nucleotide ribosomal RNA is filed under the name uncultured bacterium. RNAcentral describes it as "partial 16S ribosomal RNA". It matches the Rfam family "Bacterial small subunit ribosomal RNA", at positions 28 to 507 of the family's 1533-position model. The record is from RNAcentral.